AAGCCAUGCAAAUAUAAAUAAAAGUUCCGUAGAGGACGAGAUUGUGAACGGCUCAUUAAAUCAGCAAUAAUUGAAUCGGAAGAAGAGGAAACUCGAACAUGGAUAACCGUGGAAAAUCUAGAGCUAAUACAUGCGAAAGAAGACUCGAAAAGAGGAGCGUUUAUUAGAAGAGAAACCGCGUCGUAGACAAGGUGAUUCAUAGUAACCAAGCAGAUCGCAGGCGAAAGCAGAGCGACAAACCGAACAAAUUUCUGCCCUAUCAACUGAGGACGGUAGCAUAGAGGGCUACGGUGGUAAUGACGGGUAACGGAGAAUUAGGGUUCGAUUCCGGAGAGGGAGCAUGAGAAAUGGCUACCACUUCCAAGGAAGGCAGCAGGCGCGUAAAUUAUCCAAUGGGGACACCCCGAGAUAGUGACAACAAAUAACAAUGGUUGUAUAUAAAGUAUGACCAAUUGGAAUGAAGACAAAUCAAACUACUUACUGAGAAUCAAUUGGAGGGAAAGUUCUGGUGCCAGCAGCCGCGGUAAUUCCAGCUCCAAUAGCGAAUACUAAUUUUGUUGCAGUUAAAACGCUCGUAGUUGGGAAGUUUGUUUAUUGUGGUUGUUUGUGGGGUGGCGUUGCGAAAGCGGCGUCACCUCAAGUGUAACAAUGGCGAUAGAAUAAAAUAGAAGCGUCAACUGGCGUCGCAAGGCGCAAGAGGACGAAAAGUUACUUUGAAUAAAUUAGAGUGUUUAAAGCGAUCAGCUUGAAAGAGAGCGAGGAAAGAAUACGAAAGCAUGGGAUAAGAGAAAAGGAAUUGAAAGAUAGCAGGCGUGGUGAGAGAUUAUGUUUCGAAAAAUGAAAAAGAGGAACGGUCGGGGGUAUUUGAAUUGAAUAGCUAGCGGUGAAAUGCGAGGAUUUGUUCAAGACAAACAUCAGCGAAAGCAUUUACCAAGGACGAGUCCAUUAAUCAAGAACGAAAGUUUGGGGAUCGAAGAUGAUUAGAUACCGUCGUAGUCCAAACUAUAAACGAUACCGACCAAGGAUGAGAGGUCGUUGUAUAAGAGGUGGCGAGGCGCGUAAAAAACGCCUGGCCGCAGAUGAGGACUCCUUUCGAACUUUAGAGGGAAACCGUUGAGUGAUUAGGUUCUGGGGGGAGUACGGUCGCAAGGCUGAAACUUGAAGGAAUUGACGGAAGGGCACCACCAGGUGUGGAACCUGCGGCUUAAUUCGACCCAACACGGGAAAACUUACCAGGUCCGGACACAGGAAGGAUUGACAAUGAUGCGCGAGCAUCGAUAUUGAGAGCUUUUUCUUGGUUCUGUGGGUGGUGGUGCAUGGCCGUUCUUAGUUCGUGGAACUGAUCUGUCUGCUUAAUUGCGUUAACGAACGAGACCUUAG
This 1380-nucleotide ribosomal RNA is filed under the name metagenome. Its description in RNAcentral is "SSU rRNA". It matches the Rfam family "Eukaryotic small subunit ribosomal RNA", at positions 46 to 1346 of the family's 1831-position model. The record is from RNAcentral.